GAUGAACGCUGGCGGCGUGCCUAAUACAUGCAAGUCGAGCGAACAGACGAGGAGCUUGCUCCUCUGACGUUAGCGGCGGACGGGUGAGUAACACGUGGAUAACCUACCUAUAAGACUGGGAUAACUUCGGGAAACCGGAGCUAAUAACGGAUAAUAUAUUGAACCGCAUGGUUCAAUAGUGAAAGACGGUUUUGCUGUCACUUAUAGAUGGAUCCGCGCCGCAUUAGCUAGUUGGUAAGGUAACGGCUUACCAAGGCAACGAUGCGUAGCCGACCUGAGAGGGUGAUCGGCCACACUGGAACUGAGACACGGUCCAGACUCCUACGGGAGGCAGCAGUAGGGAAUCUUCCGCAAUGGGCGAAAGCCUGACGCAGCAACGCCGCGUGAGUGAUGAAGGUCUUCGGAUCGUAAAACUCUGUUAUUAGGGAAGAACAAAUGUGUAAGUAACUAUGCACGUCUUGACGGUACCUAAUCAGAAAGCCACGGCUAACUACGUG
Molecule: ribosomal RNA, 497 nt
Filed under: uncultured bacterium
Lineage: Bacteria
Description: partial 16S ribosomal RNA
Rfam family: Bacterial small subunit ribosomal RNA
Source: RNAcentral